CAGUAGCCACGGGAAUACGGAGGGUGCAAGCGCUAAUCGGAAUUACUGGGCGUAAAGGGUGCGUAGGCGGUUGUUUAAGUCUGUUGUGAAAGCCCUGGGCUCAACCUGGGAAUUGCAGUGGAUACUGGGUCACUAGAGUGUGGUAGAGGAUAGUGGAAUUUCCGGUGUAGCAGUGAAAUGCGUAGAGAUCGGAAGGAACAUCUGUGGCGAAGGCGACUAUCUGGGCCAACACUGACACUGAGGCACGAAAGCGUGGGGAGCAAACAGGAUUAGAUACCCGCGUAGUCCCUGUCUCUUAUAC
This 301-nucleotide ribosomal RNA is filed under the name uncultured bacterium. RNAcentral's name for it is "partial 16S ribosomal RNA". It matches the Rfam family "Bacterial small subunit ribosomal RNA", at positions 509 to 807 of the family's 1533-position model. The record is from RNAcentral.